RNAcentral lists this long non-coding RNA (225 nucleotides) under Ananas comosus (pineapple). Its description in RNAcentral is "long non-coding RNA (ACOM_LNC041119)". The record is from RNAcentral. Lineage: Eukaryota; Viridiplantae; Streptophyta; Magnoliopsida; Poales; Bromeliaceae.
UGUUAUGGUGAUUCAUACUUAAUUAUAGGCAUUAGAAUCAUAUAAUCAAAGUUUAGUGGAUUAGAAAGUGUAUUGGAACUUUGCGAAACCCGAAACGUGAAAAAAAUCUGAAAACUACACUGUGUACGGGUACACAUUGAAAGUGUUACCGAUUACAAACUGUGUACGGGUACAACCAUCAACGUGUUACCGGUUACAAACUGUGUAUGGGUACAACCAUCAACA